Molecule: ribosomal RNA, 253 nt
Filed under: uncultured bacterium
Lineage: Bacteria
Description: partial 16S ribosomal RNA
Rfam family: Bacterial small subunit ribosomal RNA
Source: RNAcentral
UACAGAGGUCCCAAGCGUUGUUCGGAUUCACUGGGCGUAAAGAGCGUGUAGGCGGUUAGGUAGGUCCGUUGUGAAAACUCGAGGCUCAACCUCGAGACGCCGAUGGAAACCAUCUGACUAGAGUCCGGAAGAGGAGAGUGGAAUUCCUGGUGUAGCGGUGAAAUGCGCAGAUAUCAGGAAGAACACCCGUGGCUAAGGCGGCUCUCUAGUACGUGACUGACGCUGAGACGCGAAAGCGUGGGGAGCGAACAGG